This 459-nucleotide ribosomal RNA is filed under the name uncultured bacterium. RNAcentral's name for it is "partial 16S ribosomal RNA". It matches the Rfam family "Bacterial small subunit ribosomal RNA", at positions 338 to 795 of the family's 1533-position model. The record is from RNAcentral.
CCUACGGGUGGCAGCAGUGAGGAAUAUUGGUCAAUGGACGAGAGUCUGAACCAGCCAAGUAGCGUGAAGGAUGACUGCCCUAUGGGUUGUAAACUUCUUUUAUAUGGGAAUAAAACGUUCCACGUGUGGGAUUUUGUAUGUACCAUAUGAAUAAGGAUCGGCUAACUCCGUGCCAGCAGCCGCGGUAAUACGGAGGAUCCGAGCGUUAUCCGGAUUUAUUGGGUUUAAAGGGAGCGUAGGUGGAUUGUUAAGUCAGUUGUGAAAGUUUGCGGCUCAACCGUAAAAUUGCAGUUGAAACUGGCAGUCUUGAGUACAGUAGAGGUGGGCGGAAUUCGUGGUGUAGCGGUGAAAUGCUUAGAUAUCACGAAGAACUCCGAUUGCGAAGGCAGUUCACUGGACUGCAACUGACACUGAGGCUCGAAAGUGUGGGUAUCAAACAGGAUUAGAUACCCGAGUGUC